This 85-nucleotide transfer RNA is filed under the name Kordia sp. RNAcentral describes it as "tRNA-Leu". It matches the Rfam family "tRNA". From Rfam's summary of the family: Transfer RNA (tRNA) molecules are approximately 80 nucleotides in length. Lineage: Bacteria; Pseudomonadati; Bacteroidota; Flavobacteriia; Flavobacteriales; Flavobacteriaceae. The record is from RNAcentral.
GCUCGAGUGGCGGAAUUGGUAGACGCGCUGGAUUCAAAAUCCAGUGACUUCGGUCGUGCGGGUUCGAUUCCCGCCUCGAGUACAA